GAAUUUUUCAUAAGUCUUUUAGAAUUUUUCUAGCACGUUUUCUGACCUUGAUUGGAAAUCCCAA
Molecule: small nuclear RNA, 64 nt
Organism: Mastomys coucha (southern multimammate mouse)
Lineage: Eukaryota; Metazoa; Chordata; Mammalia; Rodentia; Muridae
Product: U7 small nuclear RNA
Exons: 1
Source: RefSeq, a predicted model, not a curated record